ACACUCCUGCGGGAGGCAGCAGUGGGGAAUUUUGGACAAUGGGCGAAAGCCUGAUCCAGCCAUGCCGCGUGCAGGAUGAAGGCCUUCGGGUUGUAAACUGCUUUUGUACGGAACGAAACGGCCUUUUCUAAUAAAGAGGGCUAAUGACGGUACCGUAAGAAUAAGCACCGGCUAACUACGUGCCAGCAGCCGCGGUAAUACGUAGGGUGCAAGCGUUAAUCGGAAUUACUGGGCGUACAGCGUGCGCAGGCGGUUAUGUAAGACAGUUGUGAAAUCCCCGGGCUCAACCUGGGAACUGCAUCUGUGACUGCAUAGCUAGAGUACGGUAGAGGGGGAUGGAAUUCCGCGUGUAGCAGUGAAAUGCGUAGAUAUGCGGAGGAACACCGAUGGCGAAGGCAAUCCCCUGGACCUGUACUGACGCUCAUGCACGAAAGCGUGGGGAGCAAACAGGAUUAGAAACCCCAGUAGUCCCAUG
This 475-nucleotide ribosomal RNA is filed under the name uncultured organism. RNAcentral describes it as "partial 16S ribosomal RNA". It matches the Rfam family "Bacterial small subunit ribosomal RNA", at positions 333 to 799 of the family's 1533-position model. The record is from RNAcentral.